Long non-coding RNA from Quercus lobata, 583 nucleotides. RefSeq lists it as uncharacterized. The transcript is spliced from 2 exons. The record is from RefSeq and is a predicted model, not a curated record. NCBI's taxonomy places the organism in Eukaryota, Viridiplantae, Streptophyta, Magnoliopsida, Fagales, Fagaceae.
AAAACUUGCUCCAAACUGCGAUAAAAAGAUGGAAUCAAGCUUGGCAUCAUCCUCGGUAAGCUUGAGGAGUGGCACCACGCAUGUGCUACUGCCUUAACCUUGCUAAACUGGUUCUAGUGGUGUCAUAGACAGAGAACAAUCCUGGUAGAAGGUUCUAUGGGUGUCCCAAUUACUGGGUUGGUCGAAUGUGCAAAUUUUUUCAAUGGGUUGAUGAUGAGAUUUGUCUGCGUGGUAAGGUGUUUAUCGCAAAACAAAAGCUAACCAUUCUCAAACUUGAGGCUGAGGCAUCAAUCUGCAAGAAGAGGGAGAAGUGUUUGACAGUGUCUUUGAUAUUGACAUUAGUGAUGUAUGGGAUUUGCCUUUGUGUGAUUCUAGCUUUGGUGGAUUAGAUGGGUGGGUUAUGGUGUAGGCAGGAUUAAGGUAGAGAAAUGAAGUAUGAUAGCAUGUCUUGUUUGAAGGUUUGGCAUGCUUUUUGUCAGUGUGUUUCCAUAUUGCAUUAUGGAGCAUUUUGUGGAGUUACGUAUCCCAAUUACCUUGUAAUUUCAGUAUGAAUGAAAAGAAGUUAUCAUGGAUUGAAAUUAAA